This 460-nucleotide ribosomal RNA is filed under the name uncultured bacterium. RNAcentral describes it as "partial 16S ribosomal RNA". It matches the Rfam family "Bacterial small subunit ribosomal RNA", at positions 338 to 795 of the family's 1533-position model. The record is from RNAcentral.
CCUACGGGGGGCAGCAGUGAGGAAUAUUGGUCAAUGGCCGUAAGGCUGAACCAGCCAAGUCGCGUGAAGGAAGAAGGAUCUAUGGUUUGUAAACUUCUUUUAUAGGGGAAUAAAGGUAUCCACGUGUGGAUAUUUGCAUGUACCCUAUGAAUAAGCAUCGGCUAACUCCGUGCCAGCAGCCGCGGUAAUACGGAGGAUGCGAGCGUUAUCCGGAUUUAUUGGGUUUAAAGGGUGCGUAGGUUGUUUUUUAAGUCAGCGGUGAAAGUUUGUGGCUCAACCAUAAAAUUGCCGUUGAAACUGGGAGACGUGAGUGUGAGUGAAGUAGGCGGAAUGCGUGGUGUAGCGGUGAAAUGCAUAGAUAUCACGCAGAACUCCGAUUGCGAAGGAAGCUUACUGGGGCAAAACUGACACUGAAGCACGAAAGCGUGGGGAUCGAACAGGAUUAGAGACCCGGGUAGUC